Molecule: ribosomal RNA, 279 nt
Filed under: Triticum aestivum (bread wheat)
Lineage: Eukaryota; Viridiplantae; Streptophyta; Magnoliopsida; Poales; Poaceae
Description: partial small subunit ribosomal RNA
Source: RNAcentral
AUGCCAGUCAUUGCUUUGAAGCUAGAUUUUCAUAAGGCCUUUGACAGUGUGAGUUGGUGCUGCCUUCACAAGAUACUUGAUGCCAGGGGCUUCCCACAUGUGUGGCAAAACUGGAUACAUGACCUCUUGUCCACUGGCAGCUCUAGAGUUCUGCUAAAUGGGGAGCUGGGCCCUUCCAUCACGGCAAAGAAAGGUUUUCGACAAGGGGAUUCUCUAUCUCCCUACCUUUUCAUCCUUGUCGCUGAUGUGCUGCAGAGGAUGUGCUGCCAGAGGUUUUGA